Trichinella britovi is the source of this 470-nucleotide ribosomal RNA. It matches the Rfam family "Eukaryotic large subunit ribosomal RNA", at positions 2999 to 3401 of the family's 3401-position model. The record is from Rfam. Lineage: Eukaryota; Metazoa; Nematoda; Enoplea; Trichinellida; Trichinellidae.
GAUGACAAGUCGUUGCGAUAGUAAUCCUGCUCAGUACGAGAGGAACCGCGGGAUCAGACAUUUGGUUCAUGCGCUCGGCUGAAAGGCCGGUGGCGCGAAGCUAGCAUCUGCAAGAUUAUGACUGAACGCCUCUAAGUCAGAAUCUUUUCUAGUCAUUGGCAACGAUAAGUUGCGUCCAGACUCGAUGCGAGGAAACGAUUAGGCUUUGCUAUACGGCGAAGCCAUUAUCAGACCACGGUAGCAGGCAGUAUGGGAUUGUUACGAAAAAGCAAUUUUUUGAAGUCAGUUGAAUUCAAUCAAACUGCUAACAAUUCCACUGCGAAUGACUCCAUUCGAAUCAAUCGAAGCACAGCGGUCAGGAUGUCGAACAUUUUGCAGACGACAAAAAUACCGGUUCAGGUGUCGUAAUCAGUAGAGCAGUCAACACACUGCGAUCUGAUGAGACUCAUCCUUGUAAUCGAUUUGCUCGU